CAGCCGCGUAAUUCCAGCUCCAAUAGCGUAUAUUAAAGUUGUUGCAGUUAAAAAGCUCGUAGUUGAAUUUCGGGGUUAGUAGGUUGGUCAUGCCUCUGGUAUGUACUGGUCUCACUGAUUCCUCCUUCCUGAUGAACCUUAAUGCCAUUUAUUUGGUGUUUUGGGGAAUUUGGACUGUUACUUUGAAAAAAUUAGAGUGUUUAAAGCAAGCUAACGCUUGAAUACAUUAGCAUGGAAUAAUGAAAUAGGACGUUCGAUCCUAUUUUGUUGGUUUCUAGGAUUGACGUAAUGAUUAAUAGGGAUAGUUGGGGGCAUUAGUAUUCAAUUGUCAGAGGUGAAAUUCUUGGAUGUAUUGAAGACUAACUACUGCGAAAGCAUUUGCCAAGGAUGUUUUCAUUAAUCAAGAACGAAAGUUAGGGGAUCGAAGACGAUCAGAUACCGUCGUAGUCUUAACCAUAAACUAUGCCGACUAGGGAUCGGAUGAUGUUAAUUUUUUAAUGACUCAUUCGGCGCCUUACG
This 519-nucleotide unclassified non-coding RNA is filed under the name uncultured Glomeromycotina. Its description in RNAcentral is "SSU rRNA". It matches the Rfam family "Eukaryotic small subunit ribosomal RNA", at positions 571 to 1092 of the family's 1831-position model. Lineage: Eukaryota; Fungi; Glomeromycota. The record is from RNAcentral.